AUUGAACGCUGGCGGCAUGCUUUACACAUGCAAGUCGAACGGCAGCGCGGGCUUCGGCCUGGCGGCGAGUGGCGAACGGGUGAGUAAUACAUCGGAACGUGCCCAGUAGUGGGGGAUAGCUCGGCGAAAGCCGGAUUAAUACCCCAUACGACCUGAGGGUGAAAGCGGGGGAUCUUCGGACCUCGCGCUAUUGGAGCGGCCGAUGGCAGAUUAGCUAGUUGGUGGGGUAAAGGCCUACCAAGGCGACGAUCUGUAGCUGGUCUGAGAGGACGACCAGCCACACUGGGACUGAGACACGGCCCAGACUCCUACGGGAGGCAGCAGUGGGGAAUUUUGGACAAUGGGCGAAAGCCUGAUCCAGCAAUGCCGCGUGUGUGAUGAAGGCCUUCGGGUUGUAAAGCACUUUUGGCGGGAACGAAAAGGACUGUGCCAAUACCACGGUUCGAUGACGGUACCCGCAGAAUAAGCACCGGCUAACUACGUG
This 484-nucleotide ribosomal RNA is filed under the name uncultured bacterium. RNAcentral describes it as "partial 16S ribosomal RNA". It matches the Rfam family "Bacterial small subunit ribosomal RNA", at positions 29 to 507 of the family's 1533-position model. The record is from RNAcentral.